UAACUCAAUGGCAGGGUUGUUCACCUUGAA
Molecule: non-coding RNA, 30 nt
Filed under: Rattus norvegicus (Norway rat)
Lineage: Eukaryota; Metazoa; Chordata; Mammalia; Rodentia; Muridae
Source: RNAcentral